Molecule: non-coding RNA, 1055 nt
Organism: Xyrichtys novacula (pearly razorfish)
Lineage: Eukaryota; Metazoa; Chordata; Actinopteri; Labriformes; Labridae
Source: the annotation of a GenBank genome assembly
CCUUUGACAGAGUUAACUGGUCAUUCCUCAUCCACACCCUACACAGUUUCGGCUUUGGGGAAUCAUUUAUUAACUGGAUUAAAACACUUUACACCUCACCUACAGCCACAGUUAUUACUAACGGACAAACCUCACAAAGCUUCACUCUUCACAGGGGGACCAGGCAAGGUUGCCCACUCUCUCCCUCUUUUUUCACCAUUUUCAUUGAACCCCUAGCAGCAGCCAUCCGUCAGAACCCCCUCAUUACAGGAAUCCAAACCCCCAACAUGCACCAUAAAAUCAGCCUCUAUGCAGAUGACAUUUUACUUUUUAUGGAUAACCCAAAAUCAUCACUACAAAGAAGUAAUCAGUGUCAUCAAAUCCUUCUCCCUUCUCUCUGACUACUCAAUAAACUGGAACAAAUCCUCCAUACUCCCAUUAAACACCAACAGUCUGGCUGUGGCAGCCCUUACAACACCCAUCCCCUUCUGCACAAGUCACAUCACCUACUUAGGCAUCCACAUUUCCCCCAGGCUGUCAGAGUUGAUCAACCUGAAUUUCACUCCACUCCUAAAAAAAAUCAAUGAUGAUCUCCAACGAUGGAUGAACCUCCCAUUAUCUAUAUUAGGCAGAAUAGCAACAGUUAAAAUGACAAUCCUCCCCAAAAUCAGUUACCUUUGUUCAAUGAUUCCCACUCAUCCACCUCUCACCUGGUUUCAUUCCCUCGAUUCAUCCAUCAACAAAUUUUACUGGAAAAAUAAACCCCCACGAGUCAAACUGGCCACUCUUCAGAAAUCAAAAAGUUUAGGCGGACUCAAUGCUCCAAAUUUUCAUCAUUACUCACUAGCAAAUCAACUUCAAUACAUCUACAAAUGGACCCACCCCACCCAGUCAGAUAGCACGUGGUUAGACAUAGAACAAACAGUUAGCAAAGACAUCCAUCUCUCAGACCUACCAUUCCUCAGUCAAACUAUCAAAAAACACCCCUGUUUCCAAAACCCCACAAUAUCAUCGGCCCUGACAGCCUGGUGGAAAUUCUACAGCAUUACUAACUCCACUCUGGCACCAUCGCUUUU